Molecule: ribosomal RNA, 366 nt
Filed under: uncultured bacterium
Lineage: Bacteria
Description: bacterial SSU rRNA
Rfam family: Bacterial small subunit ribosomal RNA
Source: RNAcentral
CGGGUGAGUAAUAUAUCGGAACGUGCCCAGUCGUGGGGGAUAACGCAGCGAAAGCUGUGCUAAUACCGCAUACGAUCUCUGGAUGAAAGCGGGGGACUCUCAAGAGCCUCGCGCGAUUGGAGCGGCCGAUAUCAGAUUAGCUAGUUGGUGGGGUAAAAGCUCACCAAGGCGACGAUCUGUAGCUGGUCUGAGAGGACGACCAGCCACACUGGAACUGAGACACGGUCCAGACUCCUACGGGAGGCAGCAGUGGGGAAUUUUGGACAAUGGGCGCAAGCCUGAUCCAGCAAUGCCGCGUGCAGGAUGAAGGCCUUCGGGUUGUAAACUGCUUUUGUACGGAACGAAACGGCUCUUUCUAAUAAAGAG